This 701-nucleotide long non-coding RNA is filed under the name Trifolium pratense (red clover). RNAcentral describes it as "long non-coding RNA (TPRA_LNC012107)". Lineage: Eukaryota; Viridiplantae; Streptophyta; Magnoliopsida; Fabales; Fabaceae. The record is from RNAcentral.
ACAUGCAAAGAGGAAACAAUAUGGCUAAAACUCUCAAAUUUGUUUAUGCUAUAAUUCUAUUUCUUUUCUUAUUUUUUGUCGCAACGGAAGCCGGUACAGGUAAGUCAUUUGUUCAUGCAUCCUUUUCCUUCUUUACUUUGUACUUACCACCUAAUCUGUUAUGAUUUUACUAACUUUAUUUUAUUAAUUAUCAUUUUCUUAUUACAGAACUUGUAGAAUGUGAAAAAGAUAGUGAUUGUCCAAUAUCUUGGCACGAGUUUUUUCACAAUAAGUGCUAUCUUAAUAAAUGUAAAUGGGUUUUCAGGUUUCCUUGAUUCUAUGAGUUUCACACCAAGGAGAAUGAGAUUGUGUGCUAUCAAAUUAAAUGUUAUGUGUAGUAUACCUUAAGAUAGAAUAUUCCAUUAGUUGUCAUUUAUUUAUUUAUUGUAAUGCCACCCAAUAAUGUUUUCUUAAUUUCCCUUUGUAUAUAUGUAUCAUGUUCAUGUAUAUGUAUAUUGUGUGUCAAAAAAAUAAAAUAAAGAAACUAGUACGUAUAAAUUUUGUAUUCUAAGAUGAUGGUAAGGUUGCAUAAAUAAAAUGAUGGUAAGGCAAUAGAGAGUAUUAUUUAGAUUAUUUAGGUUGCAUAAAAAAAUGUUGAAAAAUAUAUAUUUUUCUUACUUCAAAGCCUAUAAUUUUUUUAAUGCCAUAAUUUAUACUUAUCA